CGCAGGGUGAGCGCCCCCUGCUGGCCCCACUAACACCUCUUCCAGCAGCAACCUUAGUUUUUCCCAGGAGGUCUCACAUCCAGUUAUUGACCAGGCUCAGACCUGCUUAGCUUUAGUGGGUUGCCAGUUGUGAGUUUGCUGUUGUCUGCAGUAUUAAAAGGUUCAGGGGUGACUGGAUUGGGAGUUCAGGCAAGAGCUGGGUUGUAAUUUUUUUUUCAGAUCUCGGCAGGGCAGGAAUUAUGUUUUAUUCCAGUGUGUCCCCAACCCUGAUUCUGGGAGAUUUCUACUCCAGCUGACGCAGUGAUCACAGGUUAGCCACACUUCAACCCCCUGCGAGGGGCAUCUUUUUAAACACGCUUUCAGCUCCUAAAGCUUCGAACGGGGUCUGUACAGUCAGUCAUGCGUGUCCUCCCAGUUUGCGCCGGAGAUUCAAACCGCCCUCACCCGAGCUCUGCAGAAAGAGAAACAGCUCAGCGAGGCAGGACGUAACACCGCCCCAUUCCCACCGACCGCUCGGCUCCCAUCGGGAGCGGGUCUGUCCGAAAUCAAGGCCAGCAGGUUUGAGAAGAAGCUGUGUGCUCACGCUGUUGGAGUCAACGCGCUGGAAGCUGCGUGACUCUGUGAAACUUGGGGGACAGUGUGCACACGCAAGUCCGACAGACGUUUGAACAAACAAGCAGGUCAGUCAAAAGCAUCAGUUAUUAUAUUGGAGAGGCAGAGCUCAAGCAGGACACAGGACCGGGAUGAAAGCCUGUUCUAACGCGGAAUUAUUCCAGUUUUUUUACCCUGGCGUAUGUAUCUGCCCCUUUGCUUUCCCACUGUACCCCAAACCCUCAGCGUAAUAAAUGUAAUCCUGCCGUCUCCUCUCGUCGUGUGUUUUUUCUUCCUGUAAAGCGCUUUGAGGAGCCAAUUGCUACAUAAAAUAAAAGUUACUGACAGCUAAUGAAAAUGCAGCCUCGGGCAGAGAGAGAGAGGCUAUACAACGCCUCGUCAGUUACCGGCUCUUCCUCCCCGGGUGUCGGUGCCGUGAUCCCGCCGUGCUGCCGGCUCGCCCGCCGACACCUGCAGCCUCUUCCUCAGCGUGUCGUUCUCCCUCCUGGCCUGGGACAGCUCGUCCUCCACCAGCUGCGUGAUUUCGCACAGCGCUGCUCGCAGCAGGGUCUCCAGGACGGAAGCGAGCCGUGCCGGGAAAGACGAGCCGGGCCCGGACAUCUUUUCGCCCCCUGCCGAGGUGCGGGACACAUCUGUGUCUUUCCAGGAUGGGAAACGGGCUCGGCACGGUCACCUGCACCUCCUCCGGGGGCCUGGCGCCCUGGCGGGGAAGUGGGGCUCCGGAUCAGUCCGGUGGGUCUUCUUGUGCCAGACAGAGGCCAACAGGACCGGCGUUAGUGUUCCUCAGCCGCCAGCAGGGAGCGCCCGCUGGUCGAGCGCUGUGCGGGGAACGACUGCCCGACACACAACCUGAACAUCAUGGCGUCCCAUGCAGCACAGAGCGGGUGUGUGUGUGUGGGGGGGGGGGGUGACCAGAUUGUAGCUGACAGUGUAGUAGUUUGAGUCCCUGCUGCAGUGCAGACAGUGCAGCACUC
Molecule: long non-coding RNA, 1586 nt
Organism: Lepisosteus oculatus (spotted gar)
Lineage: Eukaryota; Metazoa; Chordata; Actinopteri; Semionotiformes; Lepisosteidae
Source: Ensembl